RNAcentral lists this ribosomal RNA (253 nucleotides) under uncultured bacterium. RNAcentral's name for it is "partial 16S ribosomal RNA". It matches the Rfam family "Bacterial small subunit ribosomal RNA", at positions 524 to 776 of the family's 1533-position model. The record is from RNAcentral.
UGCGGGGGGGGCAAGCGUUGUUCGGAAUUACUGGGCGUAAAGCGUGCGCAGGCGGCGCCGCAAGUCGAGUGUGAAAUCCCCGAGCUUAACUUGGGAAUUGCGCUCGAAACUACGGUGCUGGAGUGUGGCAGAGGGAGGUGGAAUUCCACGUGUAGCGGUGAAAUGCGUAGAUAUCUGGAGGAACACCGGUGGCGAAGGCGGCGUUCUGGACUGCAACUGACACUGAUGAACGAAAGCCAGGGGAGCAAACGGG